CCUUUUGUAUAAUGGGUCAGCGACUUAUAUUCUGUAGCAAGGUUAACCGAAUAGGGGAGCCGAAGGGAAACCGAGUCUUAACUGGGCGUUAAGUUGCAGGGUAUAGACCCGAAACCCGGUGAUCUAGCCAUGGGCAGGUUGAAGGUUGGGUAACACUAACUGGAGGACCGAACCGACUAAUGUUGAAAAAUUAGCGGAUGACUUGUGGCUGGGGGUGAAAGGCCAAUCAAACCGGGAGAUAGCUGGUUCUCCCCGAAAGCUAUUUAGGUAGCGCCUCGUGAAUUCAUCUCCGGGGGUAGAGCACUGUUUCGGCAAGGGGGUCAUCCCGACUUACCAACCCGAUGCAAACUGCGAAUACCGGAGAAUGUUAUCACGGGAGACACACGGCGGGUGCUAACGUCCGUCGUGAAGAGGGAAACAACCCAGACCGCCAGCUAAGGUCCCAAAGUCAUGGUUAAGUGGGAAACGAUGUGGGAAGGCCCAGACAGCCAGGAUGUUGGCUUAGAAGCAGCCAUCAUUUAAAGAAAGCGUAAUAGCUCACUGGUCGAGUCGGCCUGCGCGGAAGAUGUAACGGGGCUAAACCAUGCACCGAAGCUGCGGCAGCGACGCUGAUGCGUUGUUGGGUAGGGGAGCGUUCUGUAAGCCUGCGAAGGUGUGCUGUGAGGCAUGCUGGAGGUAUCAGAAGUGCGAAUGCUGACAUAAGUAACGAUAAAGCGGGUGAAAAGCCCGCUCGCCGGAAGACCAAGGGUUCCUGUCCAACGUUAAUCGGGGCAGGGUGAGUCGACCCCUAAGGCGAGGCCGAAAGGCGUAGUCGAUGGGAAACAGGUUAAUAUUCCUGUACUUGGUGUUACUGCGAAGGGGGGACGGAGAAGGCUAUGUUGGCCGGGCGACGGUUGUCCCGGUUUAAGCGUGUAGGCUGGUUUUCCAGGCAAAUCCGGAAAAUCAAGGCUGAGGCGUGAUGACGAGGCACUACGGUGCUGAAGCAACAAAUGCCCUGCUUCCAGGAAAAGCCUCUAAGCAUCAGGUAACAUCAAAUCGUACCCCAAACCGACACAGGUGGUCAGGUAGAGAAUACCAAGGCGCUUGAGAGAACUCGGGUGAAGGAACUAGGCAAAAUGGUGCCGUAACUUCGGGAGAAGGCACGCUGAUAUGUAGGUGAAGUCCCUUGCGGAUGGAGCUGAAAUCAGUCGAAGAUACCAGCUGGCUGCAACUGUUUAUUAAAAACACAGCACUGUGCAAACACG
Molecule: ribosomal RNA, 1244 nt
Filed under: Escherichia coli
Lineage: Bacteria; Pseudomonadati; Pseudomonadota; Gammaproteobacteria; Enterobacterales; Enterobacteriaceae
Description: partial 23S ribosomal RNA
Rfam family: Bacterial large subunit ribosomal RNA
Source: RNAcentral